GCGGGAGUAGUUAAACUUUUAGAACACGUUCCUUCCCGGAACGAGGUAUAGGUGUAAAUCCUAUCUUCCGCUCCA
Molecule: transfer RNA, 75 nt
Filed under: Staphylococcus aureus
Lineage: Bacteria; Bacillati; Bacillota; Bacilli; Caryophanales; Staphylococcaceae
Description: tRNA-Gly
Rfam family: tRNA
About the family: Transfer RNA (tRNA) molecules are approximately 80 nucleotides in length. Their secondary structure includes four short double-helical elements and three loops (D, anti-codon, and T loops).
Source: RNAcentral